Molecule: transfer RNA, 89 nt
Filed under: Neurospora intermedia
Lineage: Eukaryota; Fungi; Ascomycota; Sordariomycetes; Sordariales; Sordariaceae
Also listed under: 1 other name
Description: tRNA-Phe
Rfam family: tRNA
About the family: Transfer RNA (tRNA) molecules are approximately 80 nucleotides in length. Their secondary structure includes four short double-helical elements and three loops (D, anti-codon, and T loops).
Source: RNAcentral
GCGGGUUUAGCUCAGUUGGGAGAGCGUCAGACUGAAGUCCACUUCACUCCUAAAUCUGAAGGUCGUGUGUUCGAUCCACACAAACCGCA